CACAAGCGGAGGAACAUGUGGUUUAAUUCGAUGAUACGCGAGGAACCUUACCUGGGCUUAAAUGCAGAGUGCAUGGAGUGGAAACACUUCUUCCCUUCGGGGCUCUUUGCAAGGUGCUGCAUGGUUGUCGUCAGCUCGUGCCGUGAGGUGUCGGGUUAAGUCCCAUAACGAGCGCAACCCUUAUCGUUAGUUGCCAGCGGGUAAAGCCGGGAACUCUAGCGAAACUGCCGGUGUAAACCGAGAGGAAGGUGGGGAUGACGUCAAAUCAGCACGGCCCUUAUGUCCAGGGCUACACACGUGUUACAAUGGCCGGUACAGAGGGCAGCUACCUGGAGACAGGAUGCGAAUCUCGAAAGCCGGUCUCAGUUCGGAUCGGAGUCUGCAACUCGACUCCGUGAAGCUGGAUUCGCUAGUAAUCGCGCAUCAGCCAUGGCGCGGUGAAUACGUUCCCGGGCCUU
RNAcentral lists this ribosomal RNA (458 nucleotides) under uncultured Sphingobacteriales bacterium. RNAcentral's name for it is "bacterial SSU rRNA". It matches the Rfam family "Bacterial small subunit ribosomal RNA", at positions 924 to 1382 of the family's 1533-position model. The record is from RNAcentral. Lineage: Bacteria; Pseudomonadati; Bacteroidota; Sphingobacteriia; Sphingobacteriales.